UUGAGCGACAUCCGCCGGACUGUGGCGUCCUCUGGUGUCUCUGUUGCUGGAGCGAGUCCCAAUGAGUUCCCAUCUCCGCCGCAGACACUUUAAGAUUAGUUGGACCCUGAGAGCUAUCCUGAAAAACGGACUACAGGCAGGUGUGAUGGGUAUCACUUAUGAGAGAUGGCAAUUGAAAGCUGCUAUUGGGUGUCUCCUUCAACCUUGAGGCUACAGCUUGGAGACACGUGUUUCCAAUAACAGGUCCUUACCACGUGAUAACUAACAUCUAAGAACUGGAUCCCAAACAAACAUCUUCCAGGACAUUAGCUUCAAAUAGACCUCCGCUGACACUGGCAUCAAUACCUCCUACCUUUGAUGAUUCAUGAAAGAACAACUAUUAUUCACCUGUCACUCACCUUUGAUUGGACCCUACCCUGGAUUUCUAAAGGAACAUGGACCCUAGAUCCUUUUCCAGUAGGAACCCCUAACACCAAGCAAUAGUGACUCAUUCUCCUUUCUAAGUCUCCUACAUCAAUUACAAAUCCUAUUCUGGAGUCAGACAUCUCAUAUGAUUCCUGGCUCUGCUACCUAUUAGUAUGAAUUAGGCAAG
Molecule: long non-coding RNA, 592 nt
Organism: Prionailurus viverrinus (fishing cat)
Lineage: Eukaryota; Metazoa; Chordata; Mammalia; Carnivora; Felidae
Exons: 3
Source: RefSeq, a predicted model, not a curated record